AAAACCAGAAAAGAAAUUCAGAUAAGUAUUUUCUGUCUAUGAAAAAUAGACUUAAGAGGAAUGGACACAAUACUUUGUGGUCUUUUUGACUUAUCUCUUGCAGGUGGUAUAAUUAGGUGAUAUAAUUAGUGUUAAACAGUUAUCUACUUCAACAUUAUGGAGAUGGAAAACUAUAUUGUGGAAAUUAUGAGAUGAUUAUUUUUUGUAUGCAGAAAAAUCCUGAGAAAGGAGCAGAUUUAUUUGUGUAUCUGCACAAUGAUUGUACAUACAAUAUUGAUUAUCGAAACAAUUGCUUAUAUUGUUGUAACAGUUGCAAUCUACCAAAGUAUAUAACUGCUUUAUAUAUGGAUGGUGACAAUAUUAUCAUAAUUAUUGAACAUAAUUACUGUGGAUAAAGAUAUCUUACAUCAUACAUGGUAUUUAAUGAUAUAAGAAAUGAGUGGGUUCAAUCUGGAUACAAAUAUUUGAUGAUGUUUGUGGAAAAUUUCCAGAGGUUGCAGCUUAAUGUCUUUUUAACAACUUAAGAUCAGUAUUACUAGGAAAAUAAGCUGGUGUAACAAGCCAUAAAUUGUGCAAUUGUUGGAUAUUUUGUACAAGCGGUUACAAACGAACCAGUCUCUAGAAAAUAUAAAAAUACAUUAUACAGGUUAGUAAUGGCAGAGGAUGCAAUAAUAUUGUCGACUGAUAUUUUAUUAAAAGGUUUUUAUCCAAAGGAAAGAUUAUUAAUUAUAGAAAAAGAGGCAAAUAUUGUAUAAAACAAUUUUUCUAAUAUUCAAAACCAAUGUUUCAAAACCAAAGUCGAGUUGAAUACCAAACCAUUUGCUAUUAAAGAAAGAAACCUGCUAUGUGCGCAUGAACGAUUUACACACACUCCUCAGUAUGAAGAGAGACUAAGGAAGU
Molecule: long non-coding RNA, 900 nt
Organism: Bombus pascuorum
Lineage: Eukaryota; Metazoa; Arthropoda; Insecta; Hymenoptera; Apidae
Exons: 4
Source: RefSeq, a predicted model, not a curated record